GACGAACGCUGGCGGCGUGCCUAAUACAUGCAAGUUGAGCGCUGAAGGUUGGUACUUGUACCAACUGGAUGAGCAGCGAACGGGUGAGUAACGCGUGGGGAAUCUGCCUUUGAGCGGGGGACAACAUUUGGAAACGAAUGCUAAUACCGCAUAAAAACUUUAAACACAAGUUUUAAGUUUGAAAGAUGCAAUUGCAUCACUCAAAGAUGAUCCCGCGUUGUAUUAGCUAGUUGGUGAGGUAAAGGCUCACCAAGGCGAUGAUACAUAGCCGACCUGAGAGGGUGAUAGGCCACAUUGGGACUGAGACACGGCACAAACGCCUACGGGAGGCAGCAGUAGGGAAUCUUCGGCAAUGGACGAAAGUCUGACCGAGCAACGCCGCGGGAGUGAAGAAGGUUUUCGGAUCGUAAAACUCUGUUGGUAGAGAAGAACGUUGGUGAGAGUGGAAAGCUCAUCAAGUGACGGUAACUACCCAGAAAGGGACGGCUAACUACGUG
Molecule: ribosomal RNA, 497 nt
Filed under: uncultured bacterium
Lineage: Bacteria
Description: partial 16S ribosomal RNA
Rfam family: Bacterial small subunit ribosomal RNA
Source: RNAcentral